Vespa velutina is the source of this 1801-nucleotide long non-coding RNA. RefSeq lists it as uncharacterized. The transcript has 3 exons. The record is from RefSeq and is a predicted model, not a curated record. Lineage: Eukaryota; Metazoa; Arthropoda; Insecta; Hymenoptera; Vespidae.
UAUUAAUUGAUAGAUAUAGCGGAAAAUAAUAAGAGAUAUAGCGAGAUAGAUAGAGAGAGAAAGAAAGGAAAAAGAAGGAAAGAAUGAGAGGGGGAGAAAGAGAGACAAACAGAAAGACAAAUAGACAGAGAGAUAAAGCUUCUUCAAAGUCAAACACUUUGUUCCACACUACAUAUGUAUAUGAAACGAUAACGAAGCAGUCUCAAUGUUCGAUCGAUAAAAUUUCAUUGACGUUUCCGACUUUCGAACGUCAAACAUUGUCCAUCGAAAUAUAGGAAAAGCAGAUUUUUAAUGGUACAUCGAGAAGGAUCCUAAUAAGUGGAAGAUGAGAAAUAGAAAUACUAUUGAAAUAGUUUGUCGCAAAAUAUAGUGAAAUGUGAUAUGAAUGGGGUACCAGAAAAAUAUUUUUAUAUCUGUAUCUUUAAUUACAAAUCGUUUUCAAUGUUUAAAAUAAAUUGGUAUAUUAUGGAGAAAUGAGAGAAAAAUCAGAGAAAAGGAAGAAAGAGGAAGAUAUAAAAGAGAUAUAAAAGAGGGAAAAAGAAAAAUUUCGAGUCACCUGCAUUACACGAUGCAAUGCAAAAGAAAUACAAGCAGAAAAAAAAUGUCGUACAUUAUAAGCCAGUUUUGUGAGGUUCAUGUUUUGACUGUGAAGAAGAUAUAUUGAUAUAAUAAUCUCGCUAGUUCGAGACGCAGAAGAUGCGUUAAAUGCUACAUACGUAAAAGCUGACUACUCUAAAAAGACAAAGUCGUGAAUGACUUCUCCUUUGUUCGCCGGUUUCUCGGUGAAAAUAUUAAACCUUUUGUCCUUCAAUUUAUUAAUAUUUUUAAAUAAUAAUUUUGGAUUCACUAAACGAAUAGAUAGAAGAACGUUGCGACCGAUGGCCCGUCGUGGAAAUAACGGACAAAAAGCUUUAAAAGGAAUAUUCAUCAUGAUUUUCUUAAAAUAAUUUGGAGAAAUAAAAAAGAAAAUGAAGAUUAAGAAAUCUAUGCGAACGAUCACAGGUCGAUCGUUGAGUUAUAUAAAUUAGAAGAUCUAAAUCAUGUGAUUGACUUUUGGCUGACCAGAACUUGAGGAGAGUCGGAAAUGUAACUGCCUAGAUUAGCAGCGAUUUUUCUACGACACACACGUAUACAUAAAGAAACGAUAUAGAAGGAGAAAUCUCCUUGAGAUGCGAAGAUUUUUUCAACGCCAUUGCAAAAACGGCGUCAUCUUCGUUGUCGGUUUCAUGAAGCGAGUCACGUUAAAAGACAGAGAGAGAGAGAGAGAGAGAGAGAGAGAGACAGAGAGAGAGAGAGAGAGAGAGAAAGAGAGAGAGAGAGAGAGAGAGAGAGAGAGAGAGAGAGAGAGAGAGAGAGAGAGAGUGUGUGAUCGUCUACCGAGGCCGUCGGACGAUCCCUCAGCUACGUCACUAAGGGUACGUCGGUGCUUGUUUCCGCCUUUGGUCGCCUGCAGGUGACACGAUAUAAGCAAGAUGGCGGCGGCUCGUGCCGCACCUGCUCUCGAUGUCGGUACCAGCGGACCGCGACUACCACCGCUGCUAGGCCUCCUGGUGAACGCGCAGCUCAGCGAUCCGCCGCCUCCGCUUCUCUGGCUCGAACGCGAAGAUGGCCGGCCACCGUGCAGCGUCAGAGGUAUACCUAAGGACCGUUGAGAAAGAGAGAGAAACUCUAAUACUUUUUCCACCUUCCUUUUUUGUAUUUCCUUUUGUUUUGCGAUGAACAUGACGAGUUCAAGAUGAUUGUGUAUCUUUUUUUCUUGAGAAAGUAUGAAUAAAGAAAAUAGAUUUUCCAUUUUUUCUUC